UGUGUCGCAAAGAGUCGGACACGACUGAGUGACUUCACUUUCACUUUCAAACUGUUUAAUAUAGGUAGAUAUGCAUUCUUCAUGCAAAUAUCUUUAAGGGUAGAGACCCCAGAUGCUUUCUCUUGAAAGCAUCUUGACAAUACCAAGCUGUAUUCAAAUGAUUCUAUUUUAAUUUUAAUUUUUGUCUCCCUAUUAGUUUAUGACCCAGGACAGUUGUAUCAGAACUACUGCCUUUAAAAAUACUCUUCAGUAUUUCCAUUUCUUAUCUAAAUUUAGUUUAUCACAUUUAAGUCUUUCCUCUAGAAAUUAUAUGAUAGAGAUGACACUCAUUUCUAUUUCUUUCCUUUUUUUCCCUCUCUUCAUUUUCUCUGUUCCUUUUUUAGUAUCCUUUUAGAGUAAAAACCUACACUGUACAUAGUAUUUUUAAAAGUAUGCUAUAAAUAGCAUUCAAUUCACUUUGAUUUCAUUUUGAACGCUAAACUGUAAGUAUGAAAUGCUGGGCCUCUAGUCACAGGUGAGAGAUCAGCACAGGAAAGGGAGAAGGGCAAAGGUCAUGGAAUCUGAGACCUGACAUUGGCCUUCAGCUCUACCUUAAAAAUAGAUCACUGAACUGCAAGAUAAUUAUCAUCCUGAGACUCAGUUUUCUCCACUGUUAAUAUGUGAAUGAUAAUAUUGACCCAGCAGCACUGUUCAGGAGCUUAAAUUAGGUUCAUAAAUGAAAGAUGCCUGGUAGAAAAUAAGUUAUUAUUAAACAGCGUGAUUGGGUAGGGGAAAAAGAAUUGGGAUGAGGACUAAAAAUCAUAAAGUUUAUUGCUCUAAUCUUUGCAACUCAAGUGAAGAAAAACUAUUGCUUCUAAAAAAGCAAGUUUUGGGGCAAGCUUUCUGGAAGUAUACUAAGCACAAUGUUAACGGGAGCUUUCUCUGGGUAAUGAUAUUAUUAAAAAUUUGCAUUGUUUACCUAAUAUUCCUCCAAAUUAUUGGAAUAUACUGUGAUAGGUAUGUAUCACUUUUGAAACUAGAAAAAAACUGCAUUUAA
RNAcentral lists this long non-coding RNA (1036 nucleotides) under Capra hircus (goat). Its description in RNAcentral is "lncRNA (ENSCHIG00010003025.1)". The record is from RNAcentral. Lineage: Eukaryota; Metazoa; Chordata; Mammalia; Artiodactyla; Bovidae.